RNAcentral lists this ribosomal RNA (752 nucleotides) under uncultured Bacillus sp. RNAcentral's name for it is "SSU rRNA". It matches the Rfam family "Bacterial small subunit ribosomal RNA", at positions 552 to 1301 of the family's 1533-position model. The record is from RNAcentral. Lineage: Bacteria; Bacillati; Bacillota; Bacilli; Caryophanales; Bacillaceae.
UAUUGGGCGUAAGCGCGCGCAGGUGGUUCUUUAAGUCUGAUGUGAAAGCCCACGGCUCAACCGUGGAGGGUCAUUGGAAACUGGGGAACUUGAGUGCAGAAGAGGAAAGUGGAAUUCCACGUGUAGCGGUGAAAUGCGUAGAGAUGUGGAGGAACACCAGUGGCGAAGGCGACUUUCUGGUCUGUAACUGACACUGAGGCGCGAAAGCGUGGGGAGCGAACAGGAUUAGAUACCCUGGUAGUCCACGCCGUAAACGAUGAGUGCUAGGUGUUAGAGGGUUUCCGCCCUUUAGUGCUGCAGCUAACGCAUUAAGCACUCCGCCUGGGGAGUACGGCCGCAAGGCUGAAACUCAAAGGAAUUGACGGGGGCCCGCACAAGCGGUGGAGCAUGUGGUUUAAUUCGAAGCAACGCGAAGAACCUUACCAGGUCUUGACAUCCUCUGACAACCCUAGAGAUAGGGCCUUCCCCUUUUGGGGGACAGAGUGACAGGUGGUGCAUGGUUGUCGUCAGCUCGUGUCGUGAGAUGUUGGGUUAAGUCCCGCAACGAGCGCAACCCUUGAUCUUAGUUGCCAGCAUUCAGUUGGGCACUCUAAGGUGACUGCCGGUGACAAACCGGANGAAGGUGGGGAUGACGUCAAAUCAUCAUGCCCCUUAUGACCUGGGCUACACACGUGCUACAAUGGAUGGUACAAAGAGCCCGCAAACCCGCGAGGGUAAGCCAAUCUCAUAAAGCCAUUCUCAGUUCGNAUUGC